CCUACGGGAGGCUGCAGUGGGGAAUAUUGGGCAAUGGAGGCAACUCUGACCCAGCAACGCCGCGUGAAUGAUGAAGGUCUUCGGAUUGUAAAGUUCUGUGAUGGGGGAUGAACACAAUGACGGUACCCCAAUAGCAAGCCACGGCUAACUACGUGCCAGCAGCCGCGGUAAUACGUAGGUGGCAAGCGUUAUCCGGAAGGACUUGGCGGAAAGGGUGCGUAGGGGGUUUAGUAAGUUGGCGGUGUAAUUCCGGGGCUCAACCUCGGCGUUACCGCCAAAACUAUUAGACUAGAGUGCAGGGGGGGUAAGUGGAAUUCCUAGUGUAGCGGUGGAAUGCGUAGAUAUUAGGAGGAACAUCAGGGGCGAAGGCGACUUACUGGACUGUAACUGACACUGAGGCACGAAAGCGUGGGGAGCAAACAGGAUUAGAUACCCCUGUAGUC
RNAcentral lists this ribosomal RNA (443 nucleotides) under uncultured bacterium. RNAcentral's name for it is "partial 16S ribosomal RNA". It matches the Rfam family "Bacterial small subunit ribosomal RNA", at positions 338 to 795 of the family's 1533-position model. The record is from RNAcentral.